Phyllostomus hastatus (greater spear-nosed bat) is the source of this 102-nucleotide small nuclear RNA. Lineage: Eukaryota; Metazoa; Chordata; Mammalia; Chiroptera; Phyllostomidae. The record is from RefSeq and is a predicted model, not a curated record.
UCAUUUAUAUAGUGCACAUAUUAAAAUUGGAAUGCUACAGAGAAAAUGAGCAUAGCCCCUCUGAAAAGAUGACAUGCAAAAUCUGAAAUGUUCCAUAUUUUU